Molecule: ribosomal RNA, 799 nt
Filed under: uncultured Glomus
Lineage: Eukaryota; Fungi; Glomeromycota; Glomeromycetes; Glomerales; Glomeraceae
Description: SSU rRNA
Rfam family: Eukaryotic small subunit ribosomal RNA
Source: RNAcentral
AUCAACUUUCGAUGGUAGGAUAGAGGCCUACCAUGGUGGUAACGGGUAACGGGGUGUUAGGGCACGACACCGGAGAGGGAGCCUGAGAAACGGCUACCACAUCCAAGGAUGGCAGCAGGCGCGCAAAUUACCCAAUCCCGACACGGGGAGGUAGUGACAAUAAAUAACAAUACGGGGUUCUUUCGGAUCUCGUAAUUGGAAUGAGUACAAUUUAAAUCUCUUAACGAGGAACAAUUGGAGGGCAAGUCUGGUGCCAGCAGCCGCGGUAAUUCCAGCUCCAAUAGCGUAUAUUAAAGUUGUUGCAGUUAAAAAGCUCGUAGUUGAAUUUCGGGGUUAGUAGGUUGGUCAUGCCUCUGGUAUGUACUGGUCUCACUGAUUCCUCCUUCCUGAUGAACCGUAAUGCCAUUAAUUUGGUGUUGCGGGGAAUUUGGACUGUUACUUUGAAAAAAUUAGAGUGUUUAAAGCAAGCUAACGCUUGAAUACAUUAGCAUGGAAUAAUGAAAUAGGGCGUUCGAUCCUAUUUUGUUGGUUUCUAGGAUUGACGUAAUGAUUAAUAGGGAUAGUUGGGGGCAUUAGUAUUCAAUUGUCAGAGGUGAAAUUCUUGGAUUUAUUGAAGACUAACUACUGCGAAAGCAUUUGCCAAGGAUGUUUUCAUUAAUCAAGAACGAAAGUUAGGGGAUCGAAGACGAUCAGAUACCGUCGUAGUCUUAACCAUAAACUAUGCCGACUAGGGAUCGGAUGAUGUUAAUUUUUUAAUGACUCAUUCGGCGCCUUACGGGAAACCAAAGUGUUUGGGUUC